GCUGGGCAAGGUGUUGCAUGCCUGUAAUUCUAGCAACUUCGAAGGCUGAGGCAGGAGGAUACCAAGUUUGAAGUCAGUCUUAGCAACUCAGCAAGACCCUAAGAAACUUAGGAAAAUCCUAUCUCAA
RNAcentral lists this small RNA (127 nucleotides) under Marmota monax (woodchuck). Lineage: Eukaryota; Metazoa; Chordata; Mammalia; Rodentia; Sciuridae. The record is from RNAcentral.